RNAcentral lists this transfer RNA (74 nucleotides) under Candidatus Woesearchaeota archaeon. RNAcentral describes it as "tRNA-His". It matches the Rfam family "tRNA". From Rfam's summary of the family: Transfer RNA (tRNA) molecules are approximately 80 nucleotides in length. Their secondary structure includes four short double-helical elements and three loops (D, anti-codon, and T loops). The record is from RNAcentral. Lineage: Archaea; Nanobdellati; Candidatus Woesearchaeota.
GUGGCCUUAGUUUAGUGGCAGAAUAGGGGACUGUGGAUCCUCUGGCGCGAGUUCGAUUCUCGCAGGCCACCCCA